UACAGAGGUCCCAAGCGUUGUUCGGAUUCACUGGGCGUAAAGGGUGCGUAGGUGGUUAGGUAAGUCUGAUGUGAAAUCUCCGGGCUCAACCCGGAAAUGGCAUUGGAAACUAUUUGACUAGAGGGUUGGAGGGGGGACUGGAAUACUUGGUGUAGCAGUGAAAUGCGUAGAUAUCAAGUGGAACACCAGUGGCGAAGGCGAGUCCCUGGACAACUCCUGACACUGAGGCACGAAAGCUAGGGGAGCAAACAGG
RNAcentral lists this ribosomal RNA (253 nucleotides) under uncultured bacterium. Its description in RNAcentral is "partial 16S ribosomal RNA". It matches the Rfam family "Bacterial small subunit ribosomal RNA", at positions 524 to 776 of the family's 1533-position model. The record is from RNAcentral.